GACGAACGCUGGCGGCGUGCCUAAUACAUGCAAGUAGAACGCUGAAGGAGGAGCUUGCUUCUCUGGAUGAGUUGCGAACGGGUGAGUAACGCGUAGGUAACCUGCCUGGUAGCGGGGGAUAACUAUUGGAAACGAUAGCUAAUACCGCAUAAUAGUAGAUGUUGCAUGACAUUUGCUUAAAAGGUGCAAUUGCAUCACUACCAGAUGGACCUGCGUUGUUUUAGCUAGUUGGUGGGGUAACGGCUCACCAAGGCGACGAUACAUAGCCGACCUGAGAGGGUGAUCGGCCACACUGGGAAUGAGACAAGGCCCAGACUCCUACGGGAGGCAGCAGUAGGGAAUCUUCGGCAAUGGACGGAAGUCUGACCGAGCAACGCCGCGUGAGUGAAGAAGGUUUUCGGAUCGUAAAGCUCUGUUGUAAGAGAAGAACGAGUGUGAGAGUGGAAAGUUCACACUGUGACGGUAUCUGAACAGAAAGGGACGGCUAACUACGUG
Molecule: ribosomal RNA, 495 nt
Filed under: uncultured bacterium
Lineage: Bacteria
Description: partial 16S ribosomal RNA
Rfam family: Bacterial small subunit ribosomal RNA
Source: RNAcentral